Dermochelys coriacea (leatherback sea turtle) is the source of this 598-nucleotide long non-coding RNA. RefSeq lists it as uncharacterized. The transcript has 3 exons. NCBI's taxonomy places the organism in Eukaryota, Metazoa, Chordata, Testudines, Dermochelyidae. The record is from RefSeq and is a predicted model, not a curated record.
AUGAAGAUGAGUCAUGCACAUGGAUUCCUCCAAUGAACUGAUUUUGCAGCUCAAGGCACAUGGGAGGAGGGGAAUAAACCCCCCUAACAAGAAGGAUCUGAAUCUCUAUGCUGCUUGGACUCUGGAGGACCGUGUUCUCUAAGUAUAAGCAAGGGAUCCCCAGCUGCUAAGCCUGGAUAGACACUUAUAUAAUAAACUACAAGCAUUGUCUUCGGUGUGAGAGCUAAGGUGCAACUGCCCUGGGGUUUUGAGAACAAGACUUAUUUUGGGGGAUCCUAAUCCUUUCUUGGGAGUUGAAGAUUGCACGUUCAGCAGCUGAAGCACAGGAAAAGAAUGUUUUAGCAAGUGACACUUUCUCUUUUCUCUUUAUAGUCAGAAGCUUUUUAGUCAUUAAAAGCUUACCCUGCUCAGGUCUGUCAUGCCACAGAAACUGAAACUAAACUUCUAAAAGACAGGACUUUCACCUCACAUCUGCUCUGACUGAGUUAAGACAGACUGAGGGAUCAGAUUCUAGAUAAUAUAUUUGUGUGUUUUAAACUGUGAAAUGUUUCCUGUAACAGAUACAAUUAUAAGUUUCCCUUUUAUUAUGCUGCUUUGA